AGGACGGUUACUAAAGUCACUAACGCCUGCAGGGCGGUUACUAAGGUCACUAACGUCUGCAGGGCGGUUACUAAGGUCACUAACGUCUGCAGGACGGUUACUAAGGUCACUAACGUCUGCAGGACGGUUACUAAGGUCACUAACGUCUGCAGGACAGUUACUAAAGUCACUAACGUCUGCAGGACGGUUACUAAGGUUACCCAUUCUUUCUCUC
Long non-coding RNA from Solea senegalensis (Senegalese sole), 214 nucleotides. RefSeq lists it as uncharacterized. The record is from RefSeq and is a predicted model, not a curated record. Lineage: Eukaryota; Metazoa; Chordata; Actinopteri; Pleuronectiformes; Soleidae. The transcript has 3 exons.